GAGAUAGUGGACGGGCAGAGUACAUAGAGAACCCUACCGUGAAUGUUGUCUUAUACUGGAUGGGGUAUGGAGACUUGGUAAUUUGGUGCUCAUACCGGACGGGGUACGGGGACGGCCUACUUCACCCUCAUACCGAACGGGGUAUUGAGGUUUAAUAUCUUUAGUGCUUAUACCGGACGGGAUAUGGGGACAACCCUGUAAUUGAGAUU
This 209-nucleotide long non-coding RNA is filed under the name Carica papaya (papaya). RNAcentral's name for it is "long non-coding RNA (CPAP_LNC002502)". Lineage: Eukaryota; Viridiplantae; Streptophyta; Magnoliopsida; Brassicales; Caricaceae. The record is from RNAcentral.